RNAcentral lists this small nucleolar RNA (137 nucleotides) under Ornithorhynchus anatinus (platypus). The record is from RNAcentral. Lineage: Eukaryota; Metazoa; Chordata; Mammalia; Monotremata; Ornithorhynchidae.
CCCCUCUCAGGGUCGCACCCGGAGAGUUUCCAGUAUUCUACCAGUCUCAACUGUGGAAGGAGAGUCAAGCAGAGGCAUAUCCAUUCCAUUCCUAGCUUGGGCAGUGGCUAGAGAGUGGAAUGCAAUCUGCUACAAGU